GAUUUUUCAGCCCAAUCAGAAAAGGGAAGGCCCAUUUCCCCUCCCAUCCCUUCCCCCCGCGCGCCGCUCCUCCUCACCGAGCCGCCGCCGUCGCUCCUCCUCGCCCCACUGCCGCCGUCGCCGCUCCUCCUCCUCCUUGCCCGUCGGCCGUGGAUGCAGAAGACGAAGGAGGUGAGGUGGUUGACGGCGGCGGAGUCACCGUUGCCUCCUCCUCCCGACGCCGUCGCCCCUUCGCCCGUCGGCCGUGGAGGGGGGAGACGAGGGAGGUGAGGUGGUCGACGGCGGCGGCGUCACCGCUGCCUCCUCCAGGCGCCGCCGCCCCUUCGCUCGUCAGCCUCCCCGCGUGCGUCUGCCUCCCCGCCGUAGCCGAGAAAUUUGGGAUUUUUUUUUAGAGAAGAAAUUUGGGAUUUUAGGGUGUGUUUCGGAAAUGGGUUAGGAGA
This 440-nucleotide long non-coding RNA is filed under the name Oryza sativa (Asian cultivated rice). RNAcentral's name for it is "long non-coding RNA (OSAT_LNC000520)". The record is from RNAcentral. Lineage: Eukaryota; Viridiplantae; Streptophyta; Magnoliopsida; Poales; Poaceae.